RNAcentral lists this ribosomal RNA (425 nucleotides) under uncultured bacterium. Its description in RNAcentral is "partial 16S ribosomal RNA". It matches the Rfam family "Bacterial small subunit ribosomal RNA", at positions 354 to 796 of the family's 1533-position model. The record is from RNAcentral.
GUGGGGAAUCUUGCGCAAUGGGCGAAACCCUGAUCUAGCCAUGCCGCGUGAGCGAUGAAGGCCUUAGGGUUGUAAAGCUCUUUCAGCUGGGAAGAUAAUGACUGUACCAGCAGAAGAAGCCCCGGCUAACUCCGUGCCAGCAGCCGCGGUAAUACGGAGGGGGCUAGCGUUGUUCGGAAUUACUGGGCGUAAAGCGCACGUAGGCGGACCGGAAAGUCAGAGGUGAAAUCCCAGGGCUCAACCUUGGAACUGCCUUUGAAACUCCUGGUCUUGAGGUCGAGAGAGGUGAGUGGAAUUCCGAGUGUAGAGGUGAAAUUCGUAGAUAUUCGGAGGAACACCAGUGGCGAAGGCGGCUCACUGGCUCGAUACUGACGCUGAGGUGCGAAAGCGUGGGGAGCAAACAGGAUUAGAUACCCGGGUAGUCC